AAUCAACGCUGGCGGCGUGCCUCAGACAUGCAAGUCGAACGCGAAAGGUUCCUUCGGGAGCCGAGUAGAGUGGCGCUCGGGUGAGUAACACGUAGGUAAUUUGCCUUUGGGUGGGGAAUAACAAUCGGAAACGGUUGCUAAUACCGCAUAAUGCAGCGGCUCGACAUCGAGACAGUUGUUAAAGCGGGGGAUCCUUCGGGACCUCGCGCCUAAAGAGAAGCCUGCGGCGGAUUAGCAGUUGGUGAGGUAAUGGCUCACCAAGGCGACGAUCCGUAACCGGCCUGAGAGGGCGGACGGUCACACUGAC
RNAcentral lists this ribosomal RNA (307 nucleotides) under uncultured bacterium. RNAcentral describes it as "bacterial SSU rRNA". It matches the Rfam family "Bacterial small subunit ribosomal RNA", at positions 32 to 317 of the family's 1533-position model. The record is from RNAcentral.